RNAcentral lists this transfer RNA (75 nucleotides) under Verrucomicrobiota bacterium. RNAcentral's name for it is "Verrucomicrobia bacterium (groundwater metagenome) tRNA-Thr". It matches the Rfam family "tRNA". From Rfam's summary of the family: Transfer RNA (tRNA) molecules are approximately 80 nucleotides in length. Their secondary structure includes four short double-helical elements and three loops (D, anti-codon, and T loops). Further hydrogen bonds mediate the characteristic L-shaped molecular structure. tRNAs have two regions of fundamental functional importance: the anti-codon, which is responsible for specific mRNA codon recognition, and the 3' end, to which the tRNAs corresponding amino acid is attached (by aminoacyl-tRNA synthetases). tRNAs cope with the degeneracy of the genetic code in two manners: having more than one tRNA (with a specific anti-codon) for a particular amino acid; and 'wobble' base-pairing, i.e. permitting non-standard base-pairing at the 3rd anti-codon position. Lineage: Bacteria; Pseudomonadati; Verrucomicrobiota. The record is from RNAcentral.
GCCAGCUUAGCUCAGCGGUAGAGCAACGGUUUUGUAAACCGUGGGUCGCCGGUUCAAUCCCGGCAGCUGGCUCCA